This 1287-nucleotide ribosomal RNA is filed under the name Cronobacter dublinensis. Its description in RNAcentral is "partial 23S ribosomal RNA". It matches the Rfam family "Bacterial large subunit ribosomal RNA", at positions 1660 to 2925 of the family's 2925-position model. Lineage: Bacteria; Pseudomonadati; Pseudomonadota; Gammaproteobacteria; Enterobacterales; Enterobacteriaceae. The record is from RNAcentral.
CAGGUGGUCAGGUAGAGAAUACCAAGGCGCUUGAGAGAACUCGGGUGAAGGAACUAGGCAAAAUGGUGCCGUAACUUCGGGAGAAGGCACGCUGACAUGUAGGUGAAGCCCCUGCGGGUGGAGCUGAAGUCAGUCGAAGAUACCAGCUGGCUGCAACUGUUUAUUAAAAACACAGCACUGUGCAAACACGAAAGUGGACGUAUACGGUGUGACGCCUGCCCGGUGCCGGAAGGUUAAUUGAUGGGGUUAUCGCAAGAGAAGCUCCUGAUCGAAGCCCCGGUAAACGGCGGCCGUAACUAUAACGGUCCUAAGGUAGCGAAAUUCCUUGUCGGGUAAGUUCCGACCUGCACGAAUGGCGUAAUGAUGGCCAGGCUGUCUCCACCCGAGACUCAGUGAAAUUGAACUCGCUGUGAAGAUGCAGUGUACCCGCGGCAAGACGGAAAGACCCCGUGAACCUUUACUACAGCUUGACACUGAACAUUGAGCCUUGAUGUGUAGGAUAGGUGGGAGGCUUUGAAGCGUGGACGCCAGUCUGCGUGGAGCCAACCUUGAAAUACCACCCUUUAAUGUUUGAUGUUCUAACCUGGCGCCAUAAUCUGGCGUGGGGACAGUGUCUGGUGGGUAGUUUGACUGGGGCGGUCUCCUCCCAAAGUGUAACGGAGGAGCACGAAGGUCAGCUAAUCCUGGUCGGACAUCAGGAGGUUAGUGCAAUGGCAUAAGCUGGCUUGACUGCGAGAGUGACGGCUCGAGCAGGUGCGAAAGCAGGUCAUAGUGAUCCGGUGGUUCUGUAUGGAAGGGCCAUCGCUCAACGGAUAAAAGGUACUCCGGGGAUAACAGGCUGAUACCGCCCAAGAGUUCAUAUCGACGGCGGUGUUUGGCACCUCGAUGUCGGCUCAUCACAUCCUGGGGCUGAAGUAGGUCCCAAGGGUAUGGCUGUUCGCCAUUUAAAGUGGUACGCGAGCUGGGUUUAGAACGUCGUGAGACAGUUCGGUCCCUAUCUGCCGUGGGCGCUGGAGAAUUGAGGGGGGCUGCUCCCAGUACGAGAGGACCGGAGUGGACGCAUCACUGGUGUUCGGGUUGUCAUGCCAAUGGCACUGCCCGGUAGCUAAAUGCGGAAGAGAUAAGUGCUGAAAGCAUCUAAGCACGAAACUUGCCCCGAGAUGAGUUCUCCCUGAGACUAUAAGUCUCCUGAAGGAACGUUGAAGACGACGACGUUGAUAGGCCGGGUGUGUAAGCGCAGCGAUGCGUUGAGCUAACCGGUACUAAUGAACCGUGAGGCUUAACCUU